GUUCCACCACAGGAAAAUGAAUUUAUUCAGGCCCUUUUGCUGUGUCAUGUGAAGGUUGAAAUGAGUUCAUACUGAUGUUUUCAGCUCUUGUCCGGAAACACGUGGUUUCCUCCAGCCCCUCCUUACUUCUCUGUAGCUCACUAUCCAACACAAGAAAUCUUCUUCGCCCACUUUUAACAAUUGUGGUAUUUGAUUUGUUAGAGCCAGGGUUUGUGUCGCAUCUUUUUAUUUCCUAAAUGAAGCACAGUGUCUCCUGUGGAUGUAGCUCUGCAUUGAUGUUGAAUUGACAUGUUUAACUUUGAUUUUUGCCAUCAGAAUUCUCUACAGAAGAGUUGCAUCAGCUUCUGUGCUCAUGUUCUGCCUGCCUGCUGCUGCUGCCUGCUUCCUCUCAAUUUCUUAUCCCUAACCCAGGGCCAGCAGGAUGAGGCAAGGUUUUCAUCUUGGUCCUCCGUGUUUCAAUCCAUAGGCUCAGAGAAGUUUUCCGCCUGGGCCAGUGGACAGUAACUGAUUGGAAUAUAAUCAUUCGCUCAUUAUGUCACUUUCCCAAACUUACUCUGCAUCAGGCCAGCACUAAUCAGGAGCUCCACCUCAAAGCUCAGAGUCCUGUUGGGAUAAUGUGCAUAAUGACUGUCUCAGACUGUGAGAUGGAAACCAGGCCGUCCCUGGUGUUCUUCUCAAACUUAGGUAAAUAUGCCUUAGAACACAGAGGCAUAGGGGGCACCUUCUGAGGGCUGCCUUUCCGGGCCCAUUGCCGUAAUCCAGGAGGGAAAAGGGCAGAAUCCUAAUAAGCGGAAGUAGCUCACGUGAGCAGCUGAGUGAGUGUUGUUCUGGGCCUUUCCUGAGCAUGGCAGUGAAAAAAACAGUAUUCAUAAUCAUGAUGAUAGGCGCCAUGAGAUCGUGAAAUGGCUCCUGAAUUGUCAAGAAAAUACAUAGAUGGACAGCCUACCCCCAGCCAAGGACAGAGAUGAAAGCGGCGCCCAGCAGCCCAGUCAGAUGGAUGGAGUGGCCUGAUUUCCCGAGGCAGCUUCGUGCUGAGUGCCCAUCACUGGGAGUGAGUCAGACAUACAGCUCAAGGUCUGCAGUAACAGAGUCAGGGAGACAAGGCAUAUACCACAAACUCAUGAAAAGUAACAGUACAGAAAGUAAGUAACGAUACAAGGGAGGCAGUAUGUUAUUAAUUGUCAGAGAACACAAGGUAGGAAGUCUGGGGCCCUGGAGAGCCUAGCAGAGUUGCCUCAGCACUGGAAUACUUUGUGCAAGAAGCAGGAACUGGAUAGGUGGGGGGAGGGUGCUGGGUACAGGCAGCUGAUGAACAAAGAUGGAAUGCAGGGAU
Molecule: long non-coding RNA, 1333 nt
Organism: Bos taurus (domestic cattle)
Lineage: Eukaryota; Metazoa; Chordata; Mammalia; Artiodactyla; Bovidae
Source: Ensembl